AAGUCGUAACAAGGUUUCCGUAGGUGAACCUGCGGAAGGAUCAUUAACACGUAUCCAACGUUAAACAACCCUGUGAACCUUGAACGUGCUCUCGCACACGCUCUAGCAGCAAUCCCUGGUAAAUCAUUGUUGACCAGCUAUUGAGUCAGGGACCUCUGCUUUAAAACGAUGCGAUACGAGCGCCAGAGUAAGUGCGGCCUGGCAUCCUAGCAAUCUGUCAGUGGUUGCGCAAGGAUGGCGCAGUAAACGAUCGCUGUAGGCCCACACUUCGGCACCUAACGCCCCAUGUUUCGUACCCGGUGCGCGGAAACAACCGCACCACAAACUCGAACAACUGUUAACAAUGGAUAUCUUGGUUCUC
Molecule: unclassified non-coding RNA, 361 nt
Filed under: fungal sp.
Lineage: Eukaryota; Fungi
Description: partial internal transcribed spacer region
Rfam family: Eukaryotic small subunit ribosomal RNA (bases 1-46)
Source: RNAcentral